CAGCAGCCGCGGGAAUACGUAGGGUGCGAGCGUUAAUCGGAAUUACUGGGCGUAAAGCGUGCGCAGGCGGUUGUGUAAGACAGGUGUGAAAUCCCCGGGCUUAACCUGGGAACUGCGCUUGUGACUGCACAGCUAGAGUAUGGCAGAGGGGGGUGGAAUUCCACGUGUAGCAGUGAAAUGCGUAGAGAUGUGGAGGAAUACCGAUGGCGAAGGCAGCCCCCUGGGCCAAUACUGACGCUCAUGCACGAAAGCGUGGGGAGCAAACAGGAUUAGAUACCCCUGUAGUCCCUGUCUCUUAUAC
Molecule: ribosomal RNA, 301 nt
Filed under: uncultured bacterium
Lineage: Bacteria
Description: partial 16S ribosomal RNA
Rfam family: Bacterial small subunit ribosomal RNA
Source: RNAcentral